UCUAAUGUUUAUAGUUGUGACAUAUUUGAUAAUUUUAAAAUACAUAGUUGUGACAAGUUUUGAAACACAAGUGCAAUCAAAUGACAAUCCAUAUUCACCAAUUAUAUAUGGAAUUGGCAAUACGCAAAGGGAGAAGUACAAAUUAGCAAGGGAAAACAGGAAAUCUAUAUUACAUAAAAAGCGUAACAAGAAUCAUAACAUGUUACAUGAUAAUGUUAGUCAAGAACAACAAGUAGAUUUGCAUUCUCAAAGAAGUCACAUAAGUUGUAUUACUCAAAGAACUCCUUUAUGCGACAUAUCUAAUGGUAUUUCUAUUCCAUAAUAUUCCCAUUAUAAUGUUAAAAUAGUUAAAAGCUCAUGAAUGUAGUUAUUUUUUUGUACUACUCUAUAUGUAAUUAUAUAUGACAUAAAAUAUGUUAUAGUAAUAAUAGAUGUCAUAUUUGUUUGUGUAUUA
Long non-coding RNA from Beta vulgaris subsp. vulgaris (sugar beet), 454 nucleotides. RefSeq lists it as uncharacterized. The record is from RefSeq and is a predicted model, not a curated record. NCBI's taxonomy places the organism in Eukaryota, Viridiplantae, Streptophyta, Magnoliopsida, Caryophyllales, Amaranthaceae. The transcript has 2 exons.